UCUUUUCCUUUUUUUCCAGCCGCCGCGGUAAUACGUAGGUGGCAAGCGUUGUCCGGAAUUACUGGGUGUAAAGGGAGCGCAGGCGGGAAGCCAAGUCAGCUGUGAAAACUACAGGCUUAACUUGUAGACUGCAGUUGAAACUGGUUUUCUUGAGUGAAGUAGAGGUUGGCGGAAUUCCGAGUGUAGCGGUGAAAUGCGUAGAUAUUCGGAGGAACACCGGUGGCGAAGGCGGCCAACUGGGCUUUAACUGACGCUGAGGCUCGAAAGUGUGGGGAGCAAACAGG
RNAcentral lists this ribosomal RNA (284 nucleotides) under Eubacterium coprostanoligenes. RNAcentral describes it as "partial 16S ribosomal RNA". It matches the Rfam family "Bacterial small subunit ribosomal RNA", at positions 493 to 776 of the family's 1533-position model. Lineage: Bacteria; Bacillati; Bacillota; Clostridia; Eubacteriales; Eubacteriaceae. The record is from RNAcentral.